This 523-nucleotide ribosomal RNA is filed under the name uncultured bacterium. Its description in RNAcentral is "bacterial SSU rRNA". It matches the Rfam family "Bacterial small subunit ribosomal RNA", at positions 524 to 1050 of the family's 1533-position model. The record is from RNAcentral.
UACGGAGGAUCCGAGCGUUAUCCGGAUUUAUUGGGUUUAAAGGGUGCGCAGGCGGGUUGCUAAGUCGGUGGUGAAAUCCCGGGGCUCAACCCCUGGCUUGCCAUCGAAACUGGUUACCUUGAGUAUGGGUGAGGCAGGCGGAAUUCGUGGUGUAGCGGUGAAAUGCAUAGAUAUCACGAGGAACCCCGAUCGCGUAGGCAGCUUGCCAUUCCAUCACUGACGCUCAUGCACGAAGGCGUGGGGAUCAAACAGGAUUAGAUACCCUGGUAGUCCACGCGGUAAACGAUGAUUACUGGCUGUUCGCGAUACACUGUGAGCGGCCCAGCGAAAGCGUUAAGUAAUCCACCUGGGGAGUACGUUCGCAAGAAUGAAACUCAAAGGAAUUGACGGGGGCCCGCACAAGCGGAGGAACAUGUGGUUUAAUUCGAUGAUACGCGAGGAACCUUACCCGGGCUUGAAAUGCGGACGACCGGCGGUGAGACCCGCCUUCCUUUCGGGGCGUCCGCGUAGGUGCUGCAUGGUU